GAUGAAGAACGCAGCAAAAUGCGAUAAGUAAUGUGAAUUGCAGAAUUCAGUGAAUCAUCGAAUCUUUGAACGCACAUUGCGCCCGCCAGUAUUCUGGCGGGCAUGCCUGUUCGAGCGUCAUUUCAACCCUCAAGCACAGCUUGGUGUUGGGACUCGCGUUAAUUCGCGUUCCUCAAAUUGAUUGGCGGUCACGUCGAGCUUCCAUAGCGUAGUAGUAAAACCCUCGUUACUGGUAAUCGUCGCGGCCACGCCGUUAAACCCCAACUUCUGAAUGUUGACCUCGAAUCAGGUAGGAAUACCCGCUGAACUUAAGCAUAUCAAUAAGCGGAGGA
Molecule: unclassified non-coding RNA, 332 nt
Filed under: soil metagenome
Description: partial contains 5.8S ribosomal RNA, internal transcribed spacer 2, and large subunit ribosomal RNA
Rfam family: 5.8S ribosomal RNA (bases 1-120)
Source: RNAcentral